This 25-nucleotide non-coding RNA is filed under the name Mus musculus (house mouse). The record is from RNAcentral. Lineage: Eukaryota; Metazoa; Chordata; Mammalia; Rodentia; Muridae.
UGCUCUGUAGUACAGUUUUAGGUCC